This 218-nucleotide ribosomal RNA is filed under the name uncultured bacterium. RNAcentral describes it as "partial 16S ribosomal RNA". It matches the Rfam family "Bacterial small subunit ribosomal RNA", at positions 1283 to 1500 of the family's 1533-position model. The record is from RNAcentral.
CCAUCCCAGUUCGGAUUGCAGGCUGCAACCCGCCUGUAUGAAGUUGGAAUCGCUAGUAAUCGCGGAUCAGCAUGCCGCGGUGAAUACGUUCCCGGGCCUUGUACACACCGCCCGUCACACCAUGAGAGUCGGGAACACCCGAAGUCCGUAGCCUAACCGCAAGGGGGGCGCGGCCGAAGGUGGGUUCGAUAAUUGGGGUGAAGUCGUAACAAGGUAAC